This 373-nucleotide ribosomal RNA is filed under the name uncultured bacterium. RNAcentral describes it as "bacterial SSU rRNA". It matches the Rfam family "Bacterial small subunit ribosomal RNA", at positions 527 to 898 of the family's 1533-position model. The record is from RNAcentral.
GUAGGGGGCAAGCGUUGUCCGGAUUUACUGGGCGUAAAGCGCGUGUAGGCGGCCACGCAGGUCCGUUGUGAAAACUAGAGGCUUAACCUCUAGACGUCGACGGAAACCGUGUGGCUAGAGUCCGGAAGAGGAGAGUGGAAUUCCUGGUGUAGCGGUGAAAUGCGCAGAUAUCAGGAAGAACACCAAUGGCGAAGGCAGCUCUCUGGGACGGUACUGACGCUGAGACGCGAAAGCGUGGGGAGCGAACAGGAUUAGAUACCCUGGUAGUCCACGCCGUAAACGAUGGGUGCUAGGUGUGGGAGGUGUCGACUCCUUCCGUGCCGUAGCUAACGCAUUAAGCACCCCGCCUGGGGAGUACGGCCGCAAGGCUAAA